CUUAUCCUGUUGGCAGUACUACGAAGUCCUUAAAUUAUGAAAGUUCUUUGUGGAGUGGUGUGCGCCUUGAAUCCCAGCACGCGGGAGGCAGAGGCAGCCGAAUCUCUGCAGAGGAAGACGGCCAGCAGCUGCUCCGUGCACUGAGUCAGAGGCUGGUGAAGAAUCCGCAGGAUGGCACAGCAGGAAGGAAAGACUGGGAGUCUACUCAGGAGUGGUGAUGAACGGUUGUGAAGCUGGCUUUCAAUGGAAACCUAAGAUCCUUUCUGCCAUUAAGAGCUGGAAGGCAUUUAUACAGAGUUGCAGCGUUCUGAAUCAAUACAGCUUUGCUACUUAAUUCACAUAACCAUCAUUUCAGAGAUGAAGAAUCAAAGCUCCCAAUAGGCAGCAGGUCAAGCGAGGACAUCAAGACUGAGUGUUUCCCUGAGACAGAAGCUACCUCCCCUGGAAGCACGCUGGUCAGGACGCCAGGUGGUUUUUCCAGGUAAGUACGAGGAACAACAGCUACAGACUUCUAGAGAAGCUAACACUUCCCUGUGCAGGACUGCUCGCUCCUCGUCAGUUAGACCUGUUCUUUUUGAUUCCCAGCUGAGGGUGGUUUGCUCCCUCUGGAACACACUUGGCAAGGUCCAGCAUAUUACAACCGGAUCUGUGCGCUGCUGGCAUGUGGUUUUUUUUUAAGUGUCAUGUAAUGCACCACACAACAAGGAAUUGAUUAUCUAUCUACCUAGGACCCUUGCAUGCACUGUUAGAAAACCCCUUAGGUCACGGCUUAGAAACAGUCAUUUUUAAGACUGGGCCUCUGGAAAGAUGCCAAGUUUUCCUGCCGUCCUGCAGUCCAGACUCACACAGUAGUAGCAGCUCCAGCCGGUGUCGGUGUGGGCCAACUCUGUCACCUCCGCUGCACUGUUUCCUUGGAGGUAGCCCAUGCGGCGCAGACAGCCGUCGUGGAAGACCCUGGUGCAGACGCGGCAUGGGAAGAGGCUCUCAGCGGUCCAGACUUCGCAGAUAUCACACAUCUCAUCAUUGACAACCUGGCCGGAAUGAACAGGAUUUGAAAGUACAGAGAGCAAGAUCCUACGGGCUGCUGUGUGGGACUGGGUCUCUCUGGAGCCACGGUGAAGGGUAAGAGUGUUCUUCCUGGUGGAUGAGAACCAGGAAGCUCUUCUAGAUGCUUAGGGCCCUGUUACUGUGUUUCUGGGAUACAACUGGCACUUCAUAGAAAAUAAUCUGUGUGAGUGAUUGUCCCAAGCACUAUAUGACAUCAACAUCCCCAGCGGUCUUAAUACUAUCUAUAUGCCAUAGAACCCCCAGUCAUUGUAACUUACCUCAGUUCCCCUUUCUAAUUUCCCAAGGUCCCCUACAAGGGUUAGUACCUUCUGUGGUUGAGAAUUCAUAGAUAGGAUUAGUUCAAGCUUUGUCAUGCCGCCAUUCCUUCCCACUCAAAAGUCCAAGUCUUUCACUAUGACUAAUCCAAGCUAUACUUAGUAUUUUAUUCUUAUGAAAUAUUGCUUCCCUUUGUGGUACUGGGGAUAGAGAGACUUGAACACGCAAGGCAAGCACUCUACAAAGAGACACAUUUAAACCCGUCUUGUGGGGCAAGGACUGUUCUGAACCCAGCUCCCUCUUCUGGUUCCAAGUCUCACCUCAACCACACCUAGUUUUCCCUGUCCUGUUCUUUGAUCCUUAUAAGGGCGAAGACAGGGGAAUCCUGCCUUAACGGAACACUCACAGGCUCCCGGGGAUCCAGGCAGAUAUCUGGAGGUUUGUCAUCAUCCAGCUUCCGGGUGGGCCGGAUGAAGGCAGGAGGUGUGAAUCGACUGGUCCUGUCAAACUCCUCAGGCUCAACUCCACGCCCAUCCCGGAGCCGCUCCCAGGCUGCACGGUUGAUGCUGCUCUCUUCCUGAACCACAGGGGCACUGGUCUCUGCCUCUUUUUCUUCCUGUACUUCCUGAACAGAGCCCUCCACAGUGCCGCGGCGGGACCCUGGUAGCUCACCCCCACGUCUGAUGGAAGGCCUGUCCCGUAGUCCAUCCUUGAAGGCCGACACAGCCAGGCUCACCUUCUGCACCUGCUCUACGGUCUGCCGCUUGGACAUCAGCACCCCCAUGGCUCUGUGGACAAAAUCAGUUUUAUCCAUUCACGGAAAAGGCAGAACCACAGUACAGCGUGGGAGAGUAAGGACACGACACAGUGCAUUGCAAAGCUGGUCUACGCCUUCCUACUCUCAGAAGCCUCACUGGAAGAUGGCCGGGGAAUGUCUGCUCUAGCAGAACAACAGUCCACGUUAACCUUGUGCUCAACACACGCUAAUCAAGGCUUAUUGAAUGGUGCCACGUUCACGUCACUAAGUACCCACCAUCAGAAACGGAGACGGAUAGCACCACACCACACACGCUUUUAAACGUCAGACUCCAAGGAAGAACUCCAGGACGACUUAGAGAGAGCUGAGACAGGACAGACAGACCGACUAUCCAUACAAUGGAAUAGCCUUCUCUUACAAAACAGUGUAGACACACAUGAAACAUGGGUGAGCCUGGGAAGGAGACAGUCAUGUGAGGGCAGAGGUUCUGUGAUUCCGUUUCUGUGACAUGGCCAGGAAAUCUAGGGAAAUAAAAUAAACUGGUGCUUCCCUAAGUCUGCAGAGAGCUCGUGGGUGGGUGU
Non-coding RNA from Myodes glareolus (Bank vole), 2661 nucleotides. Lineage: Eukaryota; Metazoa; Chordata; Mammalia; Rodentia; Cricetidae. The record is from RefSeq and is a predicted model, not a curated record.